CCUACGGGAGGCAGCAGUGAGGAAUAUUGGUCAAUGGACGAGAGUCUGAACCAGCCAAGUAGCGUGAAGGAUGACUGCCCUAUGGGUUGUAAACUUCUUUUAUAUGGGAAUAAAAUGUUCCACGUGUGGGAUUUUGUAUGUACCAUAUGAAUAAGGAUCGGCUAACUCCGUGCCAGCAGCCGCGGUAAUACGGAGGAGCCGAGCGUUAUCCGGAUUUAUUGGGUUUAAAGGGAGCGUAGGUGGAUUGUUAAGUCAGUUGUGAAAGUUUGCGGCUCAACCGUAAAAUUGCAGUUGAAACUGGCAGUCUUGAGUACAGUAGAGGUGGGCGGAAUUCGUGGUGUAGCGGUGAAAUGCUUAGAGAUCACGAAGAACUCCGAUUGCGAAGGCAGUUCACUGGACUGCAACUGACACUGAGGCUCGAAAGUGUGGGUAUCAAACAGGAUUAGAUACCCUAGUAGUC
This 460-nucleotide ribosomal RNA is filed under the name uncultured bacterium. Its description in RNAcentral is "partial 16S ribosomal RNA". It matches the Rfam family "Bacterial small subunit ribosomal RNA", at positions 338 to 795 of the family's 1533-position model. The record is from RNAcentral.